UACGUAGGGGGCGAGCGUUGUCCGGAUUCAUUGGGCGUAAAGAGCUCGUAGGCGGCUUGGCAAGUCGGAUGUGAAAACUCCAGGCUCAACCUGGAGCCGCCAUUCGAUACUGCUAUGGCUAGAGUCCGGUAGGGGAGUGUGGAAUUCCCGGUGUAGCGGUGAAAUGCGCAGAUAUCGGGAGGAACACCGAUGGCGAAGGCAGCACUCUGGGCCGGUACUGACGCUGAGGAGCGAAAGCGUGGGGAGCAAACAGG
Molecule: ribosomal RNA, 254 nt
Filed under: uncultured bacterium
Lineage: Bacteria
Description: partial 16S ribosomal RNA
Rfam family: Bacterial small subunit ribosomal RNA
Source: RNAcentral